UACAGAGGUGGCAAGCGUUGUUCGGAAUUACUGGGCGUAAAGGGCGCGUAGGCGGUUCGUUAAGUCCUGUGUGAAAUCCCCCGGCUCAACUGGGGAACUGCACAGGAAACUAGCGGGCUUGAGUUCGGGAGAGGGAAGCGGAAUUUCGGGUGUAGCGGUGAAAUGCGUAGAUAUCCGGAGGAACACCGGUGGCGAAGGCGGCUUCCUGGACCGACACUGACGCUGAGGCGCGAAAGCUAGGGGAGCAAACGGG
This 253-nucleotide ribosomal RNA is filed under the name uncultured bacterium. RNAcentral's name for it is "partial 16S ribosomal RNA". It matches the Rfam family "Bacterial small subunit ribosomal RNA", at positions 524 to 776 of the family's 1533-position model. The record is from RNAcentral.